Helicobacter canis NCTC 12740 is the source of this 98-nucleotide non-coding RNA. It matches the Rfam family "Bacterial small signal recognition particle RNA". From Rfam's summary of the family: The signal recognition particle (SRP) is a universally conserved ribonucleoprotein involved in the co-translational targeting of proteins to membranes. Archaeal SRP consists of a 7S RNA and homologues of the eukaryotic SRP19 and SRP54 proteins. The record is from Rfam. NCBI's taxonomy places the organism in Bacteria, Pseudomonadati, Campylobacterota, Epsilonproteobacteria, Campylobacterales, Helicobacteraceae.
UUUUUAGACCUAUGCAAGGACAUCUCUAGGCAACGCUUCAGGGUGGGAACACAGCAGAGCACUUAGAUUUGGCUUGUGCCGUAGGGAUCUGGGAAGGG